UAUGCGAUACUUGGUGUGAAUUGCAGAAUUCAGUGAAUCAUCGAAUCUUUGAACGCACCUUGCGCUCCUUGGUAUUCCGAGGAGCAUGCCUGUUUGAGUGUCAUGAAAUUCUCAACCUUUGUUACUUUUUUUGUUUCAAAGAGUCUGGAAGUGGAGGUUGCUGGCUUUUGUUGAAAGAGUCGGCUCCUCUGAAAUACAUUAGUGGGACCCAUCGUUGAUUAGCUCCCUGGUGUGAUAGUUAUCUACGCCGUGGCUCAUCACGAUAUUGUGUGGUUCAGCUUUCUAACGAGACAACAACAACUGUCUUUGAUUAUUUUGACCUCAAAUCAGGUAGGACUACCCGCUGAACUUAAGCAUAUCAAUAAGCGGAGGA
RNAcentral lists this ribosomal RNA (373 nucleotides) under Calocybe sp. BAB-3661. Its description in RNAcentral is "eukaryotic LSU rRNA". The stretch from base 1 to 103 matches the Rfam family "5.8S ribosomal RNA", at positions 52 to 154 of the family's 154-position model. Lineage: Eukaryota; Fungi; Basidiomycota; Agaricomycetes; Agaricales; Lyophyllaceae. The record is from RNAcentral.